RNAcentral lists this ribosomal RNA (324 nucleotides) under uncultured bacterium. RNAcentral describes it as "bacterial SSU rRNA". It matches the Rfam family "Bacterial small subunit ribosomal RNA", at positions 28 to 367 of the family's 1533-position model. The record is from RNAcentral.
GAUGAACGCUAGCGGCAGGCUUAAUACAUGCAAGUCAAGGGGUAGCAAUACAACCGGCGCACGGGUGAGUAACGCGUACACAACAUAUCAUAUACUGGAGUAUAGCUUCGGGAAACUGAAGGUAAUCCUCCAUAACAUUGCGAGAAGGCAUCUAAUUGCAAUUAAAGUUUCGACGGUAUAUGAUUGGUGUGCGUUUGAUUAGCUAGUUGGUAGGGUAACGGCCUACCAAGGCGACGAUCAAUAGCUGGCGUGAGAGCGCGACCAGCACACUGGAACUGAGACACGGUCCAGACUCCUACGGGAGGCAGCAGUAGGGAAUAUUGG